Long non-coding RNA from Oreochromis niloticus (Nile tilapia), 6620 nucleotides. RefSeq lists it as uncharacterized. The transcript has 3 exons. NCBI's taxonomy places the organism in Eukaryota, Metazoa, Chordata, Actinopteri, Cichliformes, Cichlidae. The record is from RefSeq and is a predicted model, not a curated record.
GAUGUGGGCUGAACAGUAUAUACAUUUCUACCAUCUGUCAGUCACAGUAAUCCUUCAUCUCCGCCUCCGUUCUCUAUCAAACAUCGAGUUCAGUCUGACAACAUUUUAUUUUAACUGUAAAUCUAAUCUGAAUUUAAUCUGCUGUUCCUGUUUUUCAGGUUUCAUCUGAUGUUUUAUUGUUCAACGGCACCGAACUUCAAACCUCGCAGUGCAUCACGGAAGUAACAAACAUUUUCCUGCUAUUUGGAAAAGCAGCUGCAGGAACGUGAUGAAAAUCCGAUGCAACGCUGUCAGGAUGAGGCAGAGAAGCUGCACUGAGCUCUCUCUCGCUCUCUGACAGACGGCGGUGAAGUGGGUUAUGGGAGCAGCAGGCUGCUGCAGCCGUCAUCCUGUCAGUCUCAGGGUUGAUUGAAUCAGAUGUGUACAGGAAGCCCCACCACCACCACCACCCCCCUGUCCAUACACGCUCUCCUCCAACUGAUUAAAGCACCAAGUGACAUCGGACCCAAACAAUCCCACCUCCUGUUCACGGAGGAGGAUCAACAGUUAGUGUCAGAGGGUUCAUCCGUCAGGUUUGGGACAGGUGGCGUCAAAACAAGAGUCGGCCCCAUGUAAACCAAUCAGAGCGGGUUUUUUGUUUUCUAACAACCCAGAAAAGGUUCCGGUUCCAGAAUAUAAUCUGUUUCCAUCAAAAAUAAAUCCAUACAGAACCACAAACAUGGUUCUCAUCAGGAACCUGAAACUACAGAGACCCAAAGAGGGGCAAACAGUUUCUCAGUCUUCCAGGUCAGAGUAGUCCAAAGUGCUUUAGUCACUCUCCUCUGAAAGGCUUCCUCUGGUUAACCUGUUAAGUUUUAACCUCCCGAGACUCCCGAGCAUGCCAGGCCAUCUUUGUGAGUUGUUACCUGACCCUGCCAUGCCCACAUGAUGGACCACAGCCAUGUUUUUAAUCUGACCUCGCUCUUAUUUUGAAAGUUCAGUUAUAUGCACAUCAUAUGGCCCCAGCUCUUCCUGCGUCGUGUUUUCUGACUGGCUGGAUUGCUGGUCAGGGUCAUCUGAUGUCAUUCAGCUAUUUCUUCAAAGAGUCACAUGAUUGGGUCGACUCUGUCUCCACCAGUGACUGGGUUCUACUGUUUCUAGUCUCCAUUACACACACAGCAGCGUUUUGGAUCAGGAGCUUUGAGAGCAGCCUGAUGACUGCAUAUUCAGUUACUUGAAGAUUCAUUUGAUAUGUAGGUCCUCAGUUUUACAUUUUGGGGCAUGGAUUAUAUGUUUUUUGGUGCCCAGCUCGACUUUUCCUUUUUGUUUUUUUUCUUCCCACUCUCACAAUUGUUUUUUGGGCAUCGUCUUGUUGAAGUAUGACUUGCUGCUGUGCGAUGAAGCAUGCUGACUCUAUGUAACUCAGCGUUUGAUGAUAAACUGAGCCUUGUGGCCGGACUGGCUGCUGACUGUGCACAGCGUCAGCCGGUAAGCCGCUCGCCGAGGCCUCAACCAGCCCGGCCGUGCCGUCAGGUUAUCAACAGCAAGCCGGACUGGAAAACCUUAUCAAGGAAAAAGUCAAUACCGUCGCCUCUCCUGAUGCUGUGCCCUUUACAGGAAAGAAAAAUGAUUCAACGAGGACCUGAUUCUAAUCUCCGUGGAAAGAAGUCCUUUAAAUUACAGCUUUCAAGUGCGAGUCAUGAGAAAAGAAAACAUCUUUCCAUUACGUCCUGCCACUGCAUGCAGAGAGAUGACAGAGUGCUGUGGCGAGGGAAACAGCAGCGCGGCAGUCAACACGGGUUAAUUCAUCGCAGCCUCUCGCCUCCUGCCGCAUCAGCACUUUUCUCUGGAAAUCGCUGUUUCCUGCUCUGUAAUAAGGAGCCGUCACUCGGAUGGAGGGCCGAGCGCCUGCAGCAGGUGAUCUGCAACCUGUUUACCAGCCGCACACGGCUCCUCAGACCGAAGCAUAGAAAUACCUACCAUUAAUAACACCUGUGAUUAAAAAGGAAAUCAAGUCUUAAUUUCACCUUGUGUGAAAUAACUUGUGGUUAUUUUAUUUUGUGCAGCAGAUAAAAAAAGUAUUCCCUUGCAGGACUUUAAAGUAUUUCUAUUUGACAUGUUUGUAAUUCCAUGAAUAAUUACAGACUUUGGAUCAGAUCACAGUAUUUGCUGAACAGCAUGCAGCCUGUAAGGUCCUAUGAAUGAUGUAUUUAAUAAGCAUGAAGUAAACCUGUCUAAAAUGGACAGCAUGUGCAGGAAGUGGAGAGCUUUGUAGUGAUUUUAAUGAAAGAAAAACUGAUUUCCAUCUUUCCCUAAACUGUAAGCCGGCUCUUUGAAAUGCUGCCCCAAUUUCCUGAAUUCCAUCUUGUCUUCUUUGCAGGACUUAAUGAAGGUAAUGCGGCCGAAAAGACGCCGCACAAACCGGCCGAUCUCCACUUUCUGAAGCAGAAUUAAUCAAAACAAAGCUGGCGGCCCCGGUCCCAUCUGAAGGUAUGUGAUACACCCGGGUAAAGAACAGCCCUGCCCUCCCUCUGGAGGAGUCAUCACAGGCUUUCCUGCCAUGUUGCUCUUAAUUAAAGCCGAGCGUGCCUUCCAGGAAUGAUUAAAACGAGUCUGCAAACAAAAAAGGGGACGAUUUGCCACUGCGACAGCACGGGGACAAAAGAGAGCAGAUUUACGCUCCUCUGAGACUGAACAGGGAUCUGCUGCUUCGUGAGGCUGAUAUGUGGAUGCCCUUUGGUUGUUACCCUAUCAGCCCAAAUACACACACACACACAUACACACACGUACACACACAUCUCAAAAGUCAACUCUGAGGAUUUAAAGCUGCAAAACCACAAAUUAUAUGAGCACAGAUCAAACAGAAAGAGCUUAGCUAAAGGAAGUGUCCACAUAAUCAAUGACGCCUUUAAAAACUUCAAAAUAAGAGCAUGAGAAGCGCCAACAUUUGCUGCAUCACAAAGUGAAUUUGUGGGGUGCUUCUGAGACACGUUUCACCUGCAAUGAAAGCUAACAGGGACAAAAAGUCCUGGAUGUUUGAAAAACUUCAUGACAAACACGAAGUGCCAAGUCCUCAUAAGUUUCAGAAACUCAAAUAAAGAAAGUGGAGAUUGUGUCUACUAUGGUUUCCAUUAGGACUGGAUUUUUGCAGUUUAUUGUUGAAUCUAAUCAAAAUGACUUUCACAAGCCUCAAAGUCAUGACUCUGAGUAUCUUAUUUUGUCUGACCGUUAGUUUGAAACUCACAGAUGUUCAGUUUGUUGCCUGUGGAUGAAAAAACAAAACAAAACAUUCUUCUGGACCUUUCAGCAGCCCAGACUCCUCAAGAACCUGUGAACUUUGUAUAAAUCUGAGCACUAUUCACACCUCAUCAAAAAUCUCCAUCACAUGUUCCCAGAGUCAAAGGUGACAGCUGUGGAUAAUUUAGAUAUUUCCAAGGCUGUGGAUGUAUCACAAACUCUUCAUGGAUUCAUGCAUGGUCAAGCCUUUAGGAAUUCUCAAAGGAUUUCUUGAACACUCAGCUUUAACUAUAGACGGACAGAGAGUAAGCGGUCCAUUUUUUCAGCUUCAGGACAAAUAAUUAAAUCUGUAGGCUUAACCAUGAAUUGUACAAAUUCAUUCUAGAUGGCGUCCACAGCAAACAGAAUUGCUACUUGGUUUUUUUUGAAAGACGAGUUUUGGAUUGUUUGUCACACAAAAUCAGAUUUAAAAUCACAAGCUUGAAUAUGGGAACUCGUGAUGCGUCCCUAACUUUACAGUCCGAUGAAGAGCUAAUGACGUUCACAGAAAAAACAGAACACAGUGGGAGUUUUAACUAUAAGAUGAAAAAAAACAGAGCAGUGGUUUUACUUCAUCUGCUGCAAUAACAAACUGAAGAUCUGAGGUUUGGAUUCUGGAAACCUGUGACAGCCAAAAUAGUCAUUAUUGUGAUUAUCGUGAUUAGCUGCAGCUGUCUGAUUGGAGAACAGAGCUGUCAGUCACUUCCUGUCCCUCUCUCUGAAAGCGAGAAGCUCUCUGUGGUACCCAUGCCUGGGAAAUCUGCUCCUUCGUUUUCUCUAAGCAAGAUGAUGGGAUCUGGGCGUGUCCCAGCAUGCACCAAGGCACCCCGGAUCGGUCUCCAGCCCGGACACUCCGGAUCAUACUGACGGAUGAGUUAGCGUCCUGCAUUGGGACAUCAGACUGAAGCACUUCCUGCUGAGGCGCUCAGUCUGAAAUACAUCAGUGGGUUUAGAGUGUUUGAGCAGAAGAAGCAGAAGAGGGAGGGCCUGAAGGUCUCAGUGUGGAGAGGACACAUCAGGAGGAAAAGUGAGGGGGUAACUGAGACGUGAGCUUUGGGCUGAGUUGGGCUUUAAACGGAGGACCUGGCUGAUAUUUUUAGGGGAACCGAGUAAGCGUUUAAUCUCUCAUAAUCCUUUGUUUGUAUUUUUAAGCUCAUCACCUGCUAGCAGAUCAAUGCAGCACACCGAAAACUAUGAUAUUUACUUCUGUAUUAUAAAGAAGAGAACAUUUCAAGUAAAGUACUUGUAAAUUUUAAGCAUGUGCUGCUUCUUUGUGCCGCUGAACAUCGAGGCCAUGAAGGUAAUUAUCCAAUCAAGGUUUCCUAAGAGGCACAAGAAGGAAGAAAAAAGGGCAAAGUUAUUUUUUUUUUAAAAACUAUAGAUUGGCCUCAACAGAGAAAAGCUGGUCCUUUACACCGGUCUGCUUUGUUAAACCACAGUUAGUCCAGCAGAAAUCCCUAAACCUUCACACGGCUUAAUCAGCCCUGCAGGAGCCGGUAAUGAGCCGCUGAGGGAUUAGACCCCCGAGUUUGUUUUCAGAUGCUGGGAAAGAUCUCCUGCUCGCUGGUACAACCACGAUGAGGAAACAUGGAGGGUACCGCUUCCUGAAAUCUGGAUGGAUGGACGGACGUCAUGGCCCGCCUCUGGCCCACGCUCUCCAAUGUCCAGCUAAUGAGCAGAGCUGAAGUCUGACUCAGUAUACCAGGCUGACCUCUGACCCUCACUGACUAAUCUAUGUGCAAAACUGAAAUAAGUGAAGGAUAAUACCAAGGAAGCAGAGUCUCUAAACGGCUGUAAACUGUUUCUGAGGUAAGCAGGCAGUUUUUAAACACCUGCCUCUCUGUAUUUACCCCAUCACUAUUUCCCCACCUUCAGCCACGUCUCAUGUCUUUAAUCACCGCACCAGUGCCUCACUAACCAGCUCCAAAAGUCUCAGCUGAUUUUCACUGAUUUCAAUGAAAAAUGAGCAAAGAACAGACUCCACAGCAGGUGGGCCUGAUUUCUUAUCUGAUCUUAGACACUCCCCGGGGCCAAAUCUGCCUUUAUGUUCUCAUUAUUUCAGUUUUAUGUCCAUAUGUUGCUUAUUUACAGAUUAAUCAGUGUAAUCUUGUAAUUAGACAGUAAACCAGAGUUUAGACUGGAUCAUAAAGGCCUUUGGGUGGGUGACAGAACUACACUGAAGGCGAUGAGUCCUCCUGUUGUUCUGAGCACUUGGUAAAUAAAUUCUUCUCGGCUGACUGCUUGCUUUUGGUUUUUUAAUACCUCUUCAUUUGCUUUGCUUGUAAAAUCUUACUUUUAAUUAGUAAUUGUAUGUACAGCUGCUGAUCUGAGGAAUUAAAUGCAAUACUUGGAUAAAUAUACUUGACACACUUUAGCAGUCUUACUACUGCCAGUAUGAACAGUAAAAUCUUGAUGUUUACAUACACUGGGAAGCUGCUUAAUGUCAAAAACCCGUUUGUUUGUUUGUUUUUAAACAUUUUUGGUGGAAGUGAUGAAAAAAAAAAAAUGUUGCAUAUAUAUAACCCGACUGUUUAUUACAGAACUGAGAUUAGAAGCCCCAAAGAGUCCUUGAGAGACAAAACUUGGAAAAAGACAAUUCCAGCUGACAUGAAAACUGCACGUUUGUAUCCACAAGUUUAAUCUGAGCGUAGCACUAACACACUCCGGAUUACUGAGACGCUCCUGCAUGCACACACCUGCUCUUCACAAACCAGGUUACUACAGCGCAUGAUGACCGAUUUCUGAGUAACCUGGUUUCGUAUGAGCGAGUAAACACAGUGACUGCUGUCCCACAGAGCGGCACACAAAGCAAACAGAGCAGCUGCUCACAGCUGGAGGAGAGAGCAGAGAGUGUGCAGUAGCAGCUCACACAAGCAGACGGUCAGGGUUGAUUUUCUGCUGAAAUCUACUUUAAAAAGCAGCAGAAAUGACUUCAGCAUGCAUCACAAACAUGAACCAGGAUACACCAAAAAGCACAAAACAAAACAAAAAGCUGAAGACCUGUAGAUUUCAGCUCUUCUCGUGGUUAUGGAGCAGGAGGUGAUCACUCCUGCUAAAUAACACUGUCCUGUUUUAGAGUUGUCAGAAUCCUGGAGGCUCAGCAGCGAUCACAGCGUAACGGAUAAAUACAAAAUUAAAUAAAUGAUAAUUUUUUAUUCAGUGAAGUUUAAGCACCUCAUCUGCCCGCCUGCAUCAUUUAGAGUCGUCAAAUCUCACUCGAAACCUUAUGAAACACGCCUGAGGCAGCACGACGUUUCCUCUGUGAUGGUAAAUGGUAAGUGGCCUGCAUUUGUAUAGCGGUCCCUAAGGACCCCAAAGCGCUUUACACUACAUUCAGUCAUUCACACAUUCACACACUGGCGAUG